Molecule: long non-coding RNA, 359 nt
Organism: Urocitellus parryii (Arctic ground squirrel)
Lineage: Eukaryota; Metazoa; Chordata; Mammalia; Rodentia; Sciuridae
Source: RefSeq, a predicted model, not a curated record
UACCUAGUAGUUCGUUUUUGUUCUUGUUUUUCAGUUAGCAAUCUGUAAAAUUUAUUGCAAAAUUAAGCUCUCUGCUCCAGAGUCAAUAAUAUUCCUGGUGCCAGGUGGUGUAAUAAUUCACAGAAAGGGCAGAAGUUGGAGGGAAUGAGACUGAUUUAGGAAGUAGACUUCCAAGGCCUAUUUGCUGCUGCUUAUUCCCUGCUGCUAAAGGUCAGUUAUUGGAGAAAGCUGCACACGUCAAAGAACUGAGGCCAGCCGUUGGCCAAUAGCCAGCAAGAAAAUGAUGCCUUCACAUAGCCCACAGGCAACUGAAAUCCAACAACAGGGGCAAGAACAUUUUCAUGUCCUACUUAAGAAGU